UUGAUUCAUUUUUGCUUGCCUUGCGGCUCGCUCACAGAGAUGCUGAUGGAUACAGAGGUUUGGGGGUUCCCCGACGACCGCCUGAGCCCGGGCCGCGGCGGCACUGUGGCCGUCCGGGCACCGGGGCGGAAUCCGCCGAAGCAACGGGUAUGUUCACAAUGGGGUUUGGGAGUUUGUAAACUCGGUAAUGAUCCCUCCGCUGGUUCACCAACGGAGA
Molecule: unclassified non-coding RNA, 217 nt
Filed under: uncultured fungus
Lineage: Eukaryota; Fungi
Description: sequence contains ITS1
Source: RNAcentral